This 500-nucleotide ribosomal RNA is filed under the name uncultured bacterium. RNAcentral describes it as "partial 16S ribosomal RNA". It matches the Rfam family "Bacterial small subunit ribosomal RNA", at positions 30 to 523 of the family's 1533-position model. The record is from RNAcentral.
AUUGAACGCUGGCGGAAUGCUUUACACAUGCAAGUCGAACGGCAGCACGGACUUCGGUCUGGUGGCGAGUGGCGAACGGGUGAGUAAUGUAUCGGAACGUGCCCAGUCGUGGGGGAUAACGUAGUGAAAAUUACGCUAAUACCGCAUACGAUCUAUGGAUGAAAGCGGGGGAUCGCAAGACCUCGCGCGAUUGGAGCGGCCGAUAUCAGAUUAGGUAGUUGGUGGGGUAAAGGCACACCAAGCCAACGAUCUGUAGCUGGUAUGAGAGGACGACCAGCCACACUGGAACUGAGACACGGUCCAGACUCCUACGGGAGGCAGCAGUGGGGAAUUUUGGACAAUGGGCGAAAGCCUGAUUCAGCCAUUCCGCGUGCAGGAUGAAGGCCCUCGGGUUGUAAACUGCUUUUGUACAGAACGAAAAGGUUUCUACUAAUACUAGGAGCUCAUGACGGUACUGUAAGAAUAAGCACCGGCUAACUACGUGCCAGCCGCCGCAGUAA